Molecule: long non-coding RNA, 809 nt
Filed under: Nicotiana benthamiana
Lineage: Eukaryota; Viridiplantae; Streptophyta; Magnoliopsida; Solanales; Solanaceae
Description: long non-coding RNA (NBEN_LNC041552)
Source: RNAcentral
CGCCUCCGCCGUAGUUCUGCCGCGGUCGCGGUCAAACCGCGACCAAAUAUGCUCUUUGAUUCUCACUUUGUCUGCAGCCAUCUUCUACCGCGGUGGAACGCGAUAGUCCUCUUUCAGUUUUGACUUGAGCUGUUUCGCGUGGUUUACUUGACGGAAUUUUACGAUCAACCUCUUUUUCUUCAUAUUUGAUCCCAAAAGUACUCCAUAGCCUUCUCUGGUCAUAUAUAACCUGCAAGCAUGAAAAACACUAAUAAGAUUAUUUUGUUAUCACUUUUAUCAUCCAAACUAUACAAGAAGGUGGUUAUUUAGGGCCUAAUUAUAGUUAAAUUCACCUAUUAUCAGCACUCCACACUUACACCUUUGCUCGUCCUCGAGCAAGUUAAACCACACUUCUAGGCCUAACUGUUUGAUGCAUUACCUUAUUUUUAUGGCACACCCGCCAUUAUGAAGGAACAACCUAAGCAGUGCGACAGUCACGCCUCAGAUGAAGACUCUAACACCAUGACGCACUCGUGCUCACUCUAGUUACUCUAACAGAGGUGAAAACUCACUUUUUCUUCCUGAGUCACAUACCAUCACAUCAUAAUUCUGAGAGAAGUUCCACACACAUAAAAUUCAAGCAACAAGGAACCAAAGAUAGGAAGAAUUCACUCACUCUCAACAGAGAAUGUUCACAUGCAACAUAGAUACACCAUAAGCUUGCCCCUAGUGUAGUACUCUACUAAUCGAGCUAUUCAGUCAAAGAUCAAGAGGUCUUUAUUUGAUUGUAAUGUAGGCUAAGGGACAUAUAGGAUAUAUUUGGAUAUAGU